UACGAAGGGGGCUAGCGUUGCUCGGAAUUACUGGGCGUAAAGGGCGCGUAGGCGGAUGUUUAAGUCAGAGGUGAAAGCCCAGGGCUCAACCUUGGAACUGCCUUUGAUACUGGGCAUCUUGAGUAUGGGAGAGGUGAGUGGAACUCCGAGUGUAGAGGUGAAAUUCGUAGAUAUUCGGAAGAACACCAGUGGCGAAGGCGACUCACUGGCCCAAUUACUGACGCUGAGGCGCGAAAGCGUGGGGAGCAAACAGG
RNAcentral lists this ribosomal RNA (254 nucleotides) under uncultured bacterium. Its description in RNAcentral is "partial 16S ribosomal RNA". It matches the Rfam family "Bacterial small subunit ribosomal RNA", at positions 524 to 776 of the family's 1533-position model. The record is from RNAcentral.